GUCGUGAGAUGUUUGGUUAAGUCCAGCAACGAGCGCAACCCUUAUUCUAUGUUGCCAGCGGAUAAUGCCGGGGACUCGUAGAAAACUGCCGGGGUCAACUCGGAGGAAGGUGGGGACGAGGUCAAGUCAUCAUGCCCCUUAUGCCCAGGGCUGCAAACAUGCUACAAUGGCAGGUACAACGGGCUGCUAUACCGUGAGGUUGAGCGAAUCCCAUAAAGCCUGUCUCAGUUCGGAUUGGAGUCUGCAACUCGACUCCAUGAAGCUGGAGUCGCUAGUAAUCCCGGAUCAGCAACGCCGGGGUGAAUACGUUCCCGGGCCUUGUACACACCGCCCGUCACACCACGAAAGUCGGCAACACCCGAAGUCAGUGGCCCAACCUCUUUGAGGAGGGAGCUGCCGAAGGUGGGGUCGGCGAUUGGGGUGAAGUCGUAACAAGGUAGCCGUACCGGAAGGUGCGGCUGGAUCACCUCCUUUCUAAGGAGUCACUGGCCUCGUCUCACGAGGUCGACUCCCGAGUUGACCACUGGCUUUCGUCUUCUGUUCCGUUUUGAGGGAGCGCCCGUCACUUCGGUGGCGGGCUCUGCCGCUCUCCGCACCCCUGUCGAUCCCCUCGAGGGACGCCGGGCACUGCGGCCAGCCGGCCCUUGAGAACUGCAUAGCGAGCACGAGCAUCAUUUAUUCGUUCUCCCAAGCUAAUAAGAGCCAACGGUGGAUGCCUUGGCGCCUACUACCGAUGAAGGACGUGUCUGGCUGCGAUAAGCCACGGGGAGCUGCCUAGAGAGCUUCGAUCCGUGGAUGU
Molecule: small RNA, 799 nt
Filed under: uncultured Actinomycetes bacterium
Lineage: Bacteria; Bacillati; Actinomycetota; Actinomycetes
Description: bacterial SSU rRNA
Rfam family: Bacterial small subunit ribosomal RNA (bases 1-474)
Source: RNAcentral